This 3002-nucleotide ribosomal RNA is filed under the name Sulfuracidifex tepidarius. RNAcentral's name for it is "bacterial LSU rRNA". It matches the Rfam family "Archaeal large subunit ribosomal RNA". Lineage: Archaea; Thermoproteati; Thermoproteota; Thermoprotei; Sulfolobales; Sulfolobaceae. The record is from RNAcentral.
ACUAGGGGCCAACGCCAGUCGGUGGAUGGCUCGGCUCAGGCGCCGAAGAAGGGCGCGGCAAGCAGCGAAAUGCCCGGGGGAGGCGCACGCAGCCUAAGAUCCCGGGGUCCCCGAAUGGGAAUCCCCAUCGCGUACUUGAUCUGCGAGGGUCAAGUACGGGAACUCCCCCAACGGAAGCAUCUUAGUAGGGGAAGGAGGAGAAAUCAAAUCGAGAUCUCCUCAGUAGGGGCGACCGAAAGGGAGAUAGCCCAAACCAAAUCCCGGCGACAAGCCGUAGGAGAUGUGGUGUUAGCCCCGGGUUAUAUCCCUGGCAACGUAGGGUCGAAGUCCUCUGGAAUGAGGCACCAUAGAGGGUGAUAGUCCCGUAGGCUACUGCGUUGUGGGAUGACUCGAGGGCAGAGUAGCAUCCUCUGGUUUGAGGGUGCGAAGAUGGGGGACACGUGCCUCCAAGGCUAAAUACGUCCUGAGACCGAUAGCGAACUAAGUACUGUGAAGGAAAGCUGAAAAGCAUCCCGGAAGGGAGGUGAAAAGCGCCUGAAACCGACUGGUUACACAGGGUAGGGCACUCAAGGAGUGAGAUCCUCCAAAGGAAGGGGACGCGAGUCCCUUGUACGAGGAGGACGACCGGUGUCCUACCUUUCGUCUUGAAACACGGGCCGGGGAGGUCCUGCUAGUGGCGAGCCUAAGAGGGUCAACCUCGGAGGCAUAGGGAAACCGAGAGCUCGAAGCGCAAGCGAGGAGCUGGGUCCGACAGGGCCUGAAGUCACUGGCAGGAAACUAGAAACCGGGCGAUCUAGACCAGAUCAGGUCGAAGCCGGGGGAAACCUCGGUGGAGGACCGAAUAGGGGUUCUGACGUGCAAUUCGUUCCCUUGAGUCUGGUCUAGGGGCAAAAGGCCAAUCUAGCCCGGUGAUAUCUAGUUCCUCCCGAAAUGCGUCUUAGCGCAGCCUCUCCGGAGGUAGAUCGCGGGGUAGAGUUACUGAUUGGGAACUUAGUCCGAAAGGUCUGGGUUCCCAGUCAAACUCCGAACCUACGGUCGCCUUAGAAGGAGGGAGUGGGCCACACGGCGUAAGGUUGGGUGGCAAGAGGGAAACAGCCCAGAGCCGGGUUAAGGCCCCCAAGUGCCGGCUAAGUGCACCAAAGGCAUCCUCAGCCACAGACAGCGGAAGGUGGGCCCAGCAGCAGCCAUCCUCUAAGGAGUGCGUAACAGCUCACCCGCCGAGGCUGAGGGUCCUGCAGACGUGUCGGGGCUAAGCCGGCCGCCGAGACCCGGCCGGUGGGUCCUCAGGACUCACUUGGUAGGGAGGCGCUCCGGUAGGGCAGAAGGUGGGCCGUGAGGUCCACUGGACCUGCCGGAGGUGCAGAUCCCGGCGGCAGUAAUAGCGAAGAGGGGUGAGAAUCCCCUCCGCCGGAAGGGCAAGGGUUUCACGGCAAUGGUCUUCAGCCGUGAGUGAGCCGGUCCUAAGGCAACGCCUAACUGGUAGUUGUCGAAAGGGAAACAGGUUAAUAUUCCUGUGCCACGCCGGUAGGCGCGGUAACGCAAGCCCUUCUCCCGACGGGUUAGGGUAGGAGGACGCUGGUAACCCAGCGCCAAAUGCAUAAGCCCCCGGAGAGCCGUAAUGGUGAGAAAGGGGUGAAAGCAUGAUGGGUCUGACGUAUGUCGGAUUCCUCUGAUCCCCAGCUCCAAUGAAAAGGGAGAGGGAUCGAUCCGGCGUGUCCGUACCCAGAACCGACACUGGUGCCCCUAGGUGAGAAGCCUAAGGCGUCUGGGGGGUAACGGAGGCUAGGGAACUCGGCAAAUUAGCCCCGUAACUUCGGGAUAAGGGGUGCCUACCUUAGUACUGACCGUGCUAAGGUAGGUCGCAGUAACAAGGGGGAUCUGACUGUUUAAUAAAAACAUAGGUUUCCGCAAGCCCGAAAGGGUGUGAACGGAAGCUAAAUCCUGGCCACUGGCGGCAGGUUAAACCUGGGUCCAACCGGGCGAAGCCCCGCUGAAGGCCGGGGGUAACUCUGACCCUCUCAAGGUAGCCAAAUGCCUUGCCGGGCAAGUUCCGGCGCGCAUGAAUGGAUCAACGAGAUCCCCACUGUCCCAGCCUCUGGCCCCAUGAACGCCCAGAGUAGGUUCACAGUCCUGCAACCCCCAACACCGAGAGAAGACCCCGUAGAGUUUCACUGUAGCCUGGCACUGUCUUCCCGGACGUUCCCGCGUAGCGUAGGUAGGAGCGUCGAAGCCACCCUUUCGGGGGUGGUGGAGCCGAAAGUGAAACACUACCCUCGAACGUUCGGAGGACUAACCUUCCCUCAAGGGAGGGAACAGUGUCAGGUGGACAGUUCGGCUGGGGCGGCACUCCCGCGAAAAGAUAACACGGGAGCCCAAAGGUCAGCUCAGGUGGUACAGAACGCCACCGUAGAGUGCAAGGGCAAAAGCUGGCCUGACGAGAUCCUUCAACGCACGGGAUCUCGGCGCGAAAGCGCGGCCUAGCGAACGCUCAUGCCCCCACACGUGGGGGCUGGGCAUGUCAGAAAAAUUACCUCGGGGAUAACAGGGUCGUCGCGGGCGAGAGCUCCCAUCGACCCCGCGGUUUGCUACAUCGAUGUCGGCUCUUCCCACCCUGGAGGUGCAGCUGCCUCCAAGGGUAGGGCUGCCCGCCCGUUAAAGGGGAACGUGAGCUGGGUUUAGACCGUCGCGAGACAGGUCGGACUCUAAGGGUUGGGGGUGCGAAGCGGCUGAGGGAAAGGAACUCCUAGUACGAGAGGAACAGAGUUCCGGAGCCUCUAGUCUACCGGUUGUCCGACAGGGCAGUGCCGGGCAGCCACGCUCUGAGGGAUAAACACUGAAAGCAUCUAAGUGUGAAGCCCUCCCCGAAAAGAGCCGCUUUGUCGGCGCCCGCAAGGGUGUCGGCGGGCCUUCCCCUAGAAGAGGGGGUUGAUAGGGACGGGGUGUAAGUCCCGAGGGAAACCGAGGGAUGAGCCCGCGUCUACUAAUCGGGCUAUCCCUAGUCA